UGGGGAAUAUUGCACAAUGGGCGCAAGCCUGAUGCAGCGACGCCGCGUGAGGGAUGACGGCCUUCGGGUUGUAAACCUCUUUCAAUAGGGACGAAGCGCAAGUGACGGUACCUAUAGAAGAAGGGCCGGCCAACUACGUGCCAGCAGCCGCGGUAAUACGUAGGGUCCGAGCGUUGUCCGGAAUUACUGGGCGUAAAGAGCUCGUAGGUGGUUUGUCGCGUUGUUCGUGAAAACUCACAGCUUAACUGUGGGCGUGCGGGCGAUACGGGCAGACUAGAGUACUGCAGGGGAGACUGGAAUUCCUGGUGUAGCGGUGGAAUGCGCAGAUAUCAGGAGGAACACCGGUGGCGAAGGCGGGUCUCUGGGCAGUAACUGACGCUGAGGAGCGAAAGCGUGGGGAGCGAACAGGAUUAGAUACCCUGGUAGUCCACGCCGUAAACGGUGGGUACUAGGUGUGGGGUUUCCUUCCUUGGGAUCCGUGCCGUAGCUAACGCAUUAAGUACCCCGCCUGGGGAGUACGGCCGCAAGGCUAAAACUCAAAUGAAUUGAC
This 550-nucleotide ribosomal RNA is filed under the name uncultured bacterium. RNAcentral describes it as "partial 16S ribosomal RNA". It matches the Rfam family "Bacterial small subunit ribosomal RNA", at positions 355 to 914 of the family's 1533-position model. The record is from RNAcentral.